Molecule: ribosomal RNA, 503 nt
Filed under: Tylenchorhynchus teeni
Lineage: Eukaryota; Metazoa; Nematoda; Chromadorea; Rhabditida; Telotylenchidae
Description: SSU rRNA
Rfam family: Eukaryotic small subunit ribosomal RNA
Source: RNAcentral
CGCGAACGGCUCAUUAUAACAGCUAUAAUUUACUUGAAUUUGACAACCCUACUUGGAUACCGGUGGUAAUUCUAGCGCUAAUACAUGCGCCAAAGCUCCGACCGCGAGGGAAGAGCGCAUUUAUUAGAACAAAACCACACGGCUUCGGCCGUCCAAUGUUGACUCAGAAUAACUAAGCUGAUCGCAUGGUCUUGCACCGGCGACGUUUCUUUCAAGUAUCUGCCUUAUCAACUUUCGAUGGUAGUGUAUCUGACUACCAUGGUGAUGACGGGUAACGGAGGAUAAGGGUUCGACUCCGGAGAAGGGGCCUGAGAAAUGGCCACUACGUCUAAGGAUGGCAGCAGGCGCGCAAAUUACCCACUCUCAGUACGAGGAGGUAGUGACGAGAAAUAACAAGACCGUUCUCACAAGAGGCCGGUCAUUGGAAUGGGUACAAUUUAAACCCUUUAACGAGUAUCUAUGAGAGGGCAAGUCUGGUGCCAGCAGCCGCGGUAAUUCCAGCU